GAUGAACGCUGGCGGCGUGCCUAAUACAUGCAAGUCGAGCGAACGGACGAGAAGCUUGCUUCUCUGAUGUUAGCGGCGGACGGGUGAGUAACACGUGGAUAACCUACCUAUAAGACUGGGAUAACUUCGGGAAACCGGAGCUAAUACCGGAUGAUAUUUUGAACCGCAUGGUUCAAAAGUGAAAGACGGUCUUGCUGUCACUUAUAGAUGGAUCCGCGCUGCAUUAGCUAGUUGGUAAGGUAACGGCUUACCAAGGCAACGAUGCAUAGCCGACCUGAGAGGGGGAUAGGCCACACUGGAACUGAGACACGGUCAAGACUCCUACGGGAGGCAGCAGUAGGGAAUCUUACGCAAUGGGCGAAAGCCUGACGGAGCAACGCCGCGUGAGUGAUGAAGGUCUUCGGAUCGUAAAACUCUGUUAUUAGGGAAGAACAUAUGUGUAAGUAACUGUGCACAUCUUGACGGUACCUAAUCAGAAAGCCACGGCUAACUACGUG
RNAcentral lists this ribosomal RNA (497 nucleotides) under uncultured bacterium. RNAcentral's name for it is "partial 16S ribosomal RNA". It matches the Rfam family "Bacterial small subunit ribosomal RNA", at positions 28 to 507 of the family's 1533-position model. The record is from RNAcentral.